GUGAGGAAUAUUGGACAAUGGGUGAGAGCCUGAUCCAGCCAUCCCGCGUGAAGGACGACGGCCCUAUGGGUUGUAAACUUCUUUUGUACAGGGAUAAACCUUUCCACGUGUGGAAAGCUGAAGGUACUGUACGAAUAAGCACCGGCUAACUCCGUGCCAGCAGCCGCGGUAAUACGGAGGGUGCAAGCGUUAUCCGGAUUUAUUGGGUUUAAAGGGUCCGUAGGCGGAUCUGUAAGUCAGUGGUGAAAUCUCAUAGCUUAACUAUGAAACUGCCAUUGAUACUGCAGGUCUUGAGUAAGGUAGAAGUAGCUGGAAUAAGUAGUGUAGCGGUGAAAUGCAUAGAUAUUACUUAGAACACCAAUUGCGAAGGCAGGUUACUAUGUCUUAACUGACGCUGAUGGACGAAAGCGUGGGGAGCGA
Molecule: ribosomal RNA, 420 nt
Filed under: uncultured Chryseobacterium sp.
Lineage: Bacteria; Pseudomonadati; Bacteroidota; Flavobacteriia; Flavobacteriales; Weeksellaceae
Description: bacterial SSU rRNA
Rfam family: Bacterial small subunit ribosomal RNA
Source: RNAcentral